GAGAACUUUUAUUCCGAGAAGUGGAAUGACGGAGUAACGCCCCGAAACGCUUCCCCUAAAGCUACGACGUGCAUUGAAAGAUGUGUUUAUUUCUUUGUACGAGGCUCGUUAAGGUCGGCAGAAGUUUGCCGUAAAUUCAUUUUUAUAAAUGAAAUGCGAAAAGGCGCUGGAGGCAGUGUCCGUAGAUGAUAUGCCGGGGGUCAUAAAA
Strongylocentrotus purpuratus (purple sea urchin) is the source of this 208-nucleotide non-coding RNA. The record is from Rfam. Lineage: Eukaryota; Metazoa; Echinodermata; Echinoidea; Camarodonta; Strongylocentrotidae.